UACGUAGGGGGCGAGCGUUGUCCGGAGUUACUGGGCGUAAAGCGCACGCAGGCGGUCUGCUAAGUUUGGAGUGACAGUUGGUGGCUUAACUACCAAAGUGCUUCGAAAACUGACAGACUUGAGGGCUUCAGAGGGACACGGAAUUCCGGGUGGAGUGGUGAAAUGCGUAGAGAUCCGGAGGAACACCAAAGGCGAAGGCAGUGUCCUGGGGAGUACCUGACGCUCAGGUGCGAAAGCCAGGGGAGCGAACAGG
Molecule: ribosomal RNA, 253 nt
Filed under: uncultured bacterium
Lineage: Bacteria
Description: partial 16S ribosomal RNA
Rfam family: Bacterial small subunit ribosomal RNA
Source: RNAcentral